RNAcentral lists this ribosomal RNA (377 nucleotides) under uncultured Phycisphaerae bacterium. Its description in RNAcentral is "bacterial SSU rRNA". It matches the Rfam family "Bacterial small subunit ribosomal RNA", at positions 521 to 896 of the family's 1533-position model. Lineage: Bacteria; Pseudomonadati; Planctomycetota; Phycisphaerae. The record is from RNAcentral.
UAAGACGAAGGUGGCAAGCGUUGUUCGGUAUUACUGGGCUUAAAGCGUGUGUAGGCGGAUAAAUUAGCGUUUUGUGAAAUCCCUCGGCUUAACCGAGGAAUUGCUUGACGAACUGUUUAUCUUGAGGCAAGUAGGGGUGCACGGAACUCUUGGUGGAGCGGUGGAAUGCGUAGAUAUCAAGAGGAACGCCAGUGGUGAAGACGGUGCACUGGGCUUGUUCUGACGCUGAGACACGAAAGCGUGGGGAGCAAACAGGAUUAGAUACCCUGGUAGUCCACGCUGUAAACGAUGCCUACUAGGUCGUGGAGGUUCUGACACCGUCACGGCUGGAGCGAAAGUUUUAAGUAGGCCGCCUGGGGAGUACGGUCGCAAGGCUA